This 389-nucleotide RNase P RNA is filed under the name Maritimibacter sp. Its description in RNAcentral is "RNase P RNA component class A". It matches the Rfam family "Bacterial RNase P class A". Rfam says of the family: Ribonuclease P (RNase P) is a ubiquitous endoribonuclease, found in archaea, bacteria and eukarya as well as chloroplasts and mitochondria. Its best characterised activity is the generation of mature 5'-ends of tRNAs by cleaving the 5'-leader elements of precursor-tRNAs. Cellular RNase Ps are ribonucleoproteins. The record is from RNAcentral. Lineage: Bacteria; Pseudomonadati; Pseudomonadota; Alphaproteobacteria; Rhodobacterales; Roseobacteraceae.
GCGGAUGGCCGGAUGGCCGCUUCGGCGGGGUAUCCCGUCGGGGAGGAAAGUCCGGACUCCACAAGGCGACGGUGCCGGGUAACGCCCGGCCGGGGCAACCCGAGGGAAAGCGCCACAGAAAACAGACCACCGCCGGCGUGCCGGCGGCCAGGGUGAAACGGUGGGGUAAGAGCCCACCGCGGGACGGGCAACCGGACCGGCACGGCAAGCCCCACCGGGAGCAAUGCCGAAUAGGGAUUCCGCGCCCCGGCAACGGGGACAGGGCGCCUUGCCCCAGGAAUCCGGGUAGGCAGCUGAAGGCGCGCGGCGACGCGCGUUCCAGAUGAAUGGUCAUCUCCGGCAGGUCCGCCUGCCGACGACAAAAUCCGGCUUACAGGCCGUCCGCGCAU